UCGAAUCCUUGCCUUUGUAUUUGGGUGUACAUUGGGGAAUGACGGAAGUGUCGAUAUGAGGGAUGAGGUGUGCAGAAAUCCCACUCAAAUGUUGGAUAACUGAUUCCGAGGUAUUGUAGUGGACAGUGGAGACUGGAGGUAGCAUCCCAUUGGCAUCAGAUUUGGCUUUUCUAACCCUAUAGGACUCAAUGGCCCAUACAGAAUCGCAUCUCCUGGAGUUAUCUGCAAGCGUCGAUAUGAGGGAUGAAGUGUGCAGAAAUCCCACUCAAAUAUUGGAUAACUGAUUCCGAGGUAUUGUAGUGGACUGUGGAGACUGGAGGUAGCAUCCCAUUGGCAUCAGAUUUGGCUUUUCUAACCCUAUAGGACUCAAUGGCCCAUACAGAAUCGC
This 388-nucleotide long non-coding RNA is filed under the name Vitis vinifera (wine grape). RNAcentral's name for it is "long non-coding RNA (VVIN_LNC007243)". Lineage: Eukaryota; Viridiplantae; Streptophyta; Magnoliopsida; Vitales; Vitaceae. The record is from RNAcentral.